RNAcentral lists this unclassified non-coding RNA (247 nucleotides) under plant metagenome. RNAcentral describes it as "partial contains small subunit ribosomal RNA and internal transcribed spacer 1". The stretch from base 1 to 46 matches the Rfam family "Eukaryotic small subunit ribosomal RNA", at positions 1786 to 1831 of the family's 1831-position model. The record is from RNAcentral.
AAGUCGUAACAAGGUUUCCGUAGGUGAACCUGCGGAAGGAUCAUUAAAGAGAAAAGGGCUUCGGUCCUGACCUCCAACCCUUUGUUUACCUUACCACUGUUGCCCGUCGGGCGGGUCGUCGCUACGGCCCUUUCACCGGGGCGCCCGCCGUCGGCCAUUCAAAUCGCUUUCGCAGUGCCCGCCGCCAGGCCAAUCUAAAAUUCUUUGUAAACCCAGUCUUUCUGAGAGUAAAUUUAAUACUUCAAAA